CCUACGGGGGGCAGCAGUGGGGAAUAUUGGGCAAUGGAGGCAACUCUGACCCAGCAACGCCGCGUGAAUGAUGAAGGUCUUCGGAUUGUAAAGUUCUGUGAUGGGGGAUGAACACAAUGACGGUACCCCAAUAGCAAGCCACGGCUAACAACGGGCCAGCAGCCGCGGGAAAACGGAGGUGGCAAGAGUUAUCCGGAAUGACUGGGCGUAAAGGGUGCGGAGGGGGGUGAGGAAGGUGGCGGUGUAAUGGCGGGGCUCAACCUCGGCGCUACCGACAAAACGAUUGGACUCGAGUGAGGGAGGGGUAAGUGGAAUUCCUAGUGUAGCGGUGGAAUGCGUAGAUAUUAGGAGGAACAUCACGGGCGAACGCGACUUACUGGACUGUAACUGACACUGCUGCACCAAAGCGUGGGGAGCAAACAGGAUUAGAUACCCCUAGUAGUC
Molecule: ribosomal RNA, 444 nt
Filed under: uncultured bacterium
Lineage: Bacteria
Description: partial 16S ribosomal RNA
Rfam family: Bacterial small subunit ribosomal RNA
Source: RNAcentral